Molecule: ribosomal RNA, 380 nt
Filed under: uncultured eukaryote
Lineage: Eukaryota
Description: partial 18S ribosomal RNA
Rfam family: Eukaryotic small subunit ribosomal RNA
Source: RNAcentral
CAAUAGCGUAUAUUAAAGUUGUUGCGGUUAAAAAGCUCGUAGUUGGAUUUCUGUUGGGAACGACCGGUCCGCCCAUUGGGUGUGUAUCUGGCUUGUUCUCGGCAUCUUCUUGGUGAACGUUGCUGCACUUGACUGUGUGGAGCGCUACCCAGGACUUUUACUUUGAGGAAAUUAGAGUGUUUCAAGCAGGCAUAUGCCUUGAAUACAUUAGCAUGGAAUAAUAAGAUAGGACCUCGGUUCUAUUUUGUUGGUUUCUAGAGCUGAGGUAAUGAUUAAUAGGGAUAGUUGGGGGCAUUCGUAUUUAACUGCCAGAGGUGAAAUUCUUGGAUUUGUUAAAGACGGACUACUGCGAAAGCAUUUGCCAAGGAUGUUUUCAUUAA